RNAcentral lists this long non-coding RNA (1452 nucleotides) under Homo sapiens (human). RNAcentral's name for it is "non-protein coding lnc-MAP3K14-3:13". Lineage: Eukaryota; Metazoa; Chordata; Mammalia; Primates; Hominidae. The record is from RNAcentral.
CUACGGGCUCUGCCUCGAUCAGAACUCCACAAACUGAUCAGCCCCUUGCAAUGUCUGAACCACGUGUGGAAACUGCACCACCCCCAGGACGGAGGCCCCCUGCCCCUGCCCACGCACCAUCCCUUCCCAUUCCACCCUCUCCAGCCCUGGAAACCUCACCCUCUGGAGUCCUUCCUGGGCAAACUGGCCUGUGUAGACAGCCAGAAACCCUUGCCUGACCCACACCUGAGCAAACUGGCCUGUGUAGACAGUCCAAAGCCCCUGCCUGGCCCACACCUGGAGCCCAGCUGCCUGUCUCGUGGUGCCCAUGAGAAGUUUUCUGUGGAGGAAUACCUAGUGCAUGCUCUGCAAGGCAGCGUGAGCUCAGGCCAGGCCCACAGCCUGACCAGCCUGGCCAAGACCUGGGCAGCAAGGGGCUCCAGAUCCCGGGAGCCCAGCCCCAAAACUGAGGACAACGAGGGUGUCCUGCUCACUGAGAAACUCAAGCCAGUGGAUUAUGAGUACCGAGAAGAAGUCCACUGGGCCACGCACCAGCUCCGCCUGGGCAGAGGCUCCUUCGGAGAGGUGCACAGGAUGGAGGACAAGCAGACUGGCUUCCAGUGCGCUGUCAAAAAGGUGCGGCUGGAAGUAUUUCGGGCAGAGGAGCUGAUGGCAUGUGCAGGAUUGACCUCACCCAGAAUUGUCCCUUUGUAUGGAGCUGUGAGAGAAGGGCCUUGGGUCAACAUCUUCAUGGAGCUGCUGGAAGGUGGCUCCCUGGGCCAGCUGGUCAAGGAGCAGGGCUGUCUCCCAGAGGACCGGGCCCUGUACUACCUGGGCCAGGCCCUGGAGGGUCUGGAAUACCUCCACUCACGAAGGAUUCUGCAUGGGGACGUCAAAGCUGACAACGUGCUCCUGUCCAGCGAUGGGAGCCACGCAGCCCUCUGUGACUUUGGCCAUGCUGUGUGUCUUCAACCUGAUGGCCUGGGAAAGUCCUUGCUCACAGGGGACUACAUCCCUGGCACAGAGACCCACAUGGCUCCGGAGGUGGUGCUGGGCAGGAGCUGCGACGCCAAGGUGGAUGUCUGGAGCAGCUGCUGUAUGAUGCUGCACAUGCUCAACGGCUGCCACCCCUGGACUCAGUUCUUCCGAGGGCCGCUCUGCCUCAAGGUCGGUGACGGCACCCAGCAUGGCCAACAGGGGGAGCUGCAGGGCCCUGGGGCCCAGGCUGCAGGCUGGAGGGGCUGCUCUGCGGUGGCAGAUGGAGCAAGGGGAGGCCUGGUCAUCCAUGUGGGAUCCUAAUUCAAAUACUUGCCACCCAAAUCUGGGGGUACAAGGGGAGAUCCAGCUGCGGAGGCUCACCAAGUUCAUGGCAGGUGAGAACUCUCUUCUGUCCAUACCCUGGGCCCCAUCCACCUGCCUCCUAACGGGCCGGGCCUGGAGGCUGUGGGCGUCUUGCUGCCUGGCUCUGGCCUG